UUUUACACGAAACACGGAGCCGUAAAUUUUUUUAAAUAUUAUUGCACAUGCACCGUUGCAUACAGUCUCGUUCUAUUUUUAGCAUGUAUGAAAGAGUGAAAAGUGGCUUGCCUACGAGAAACUAAAGGAGGAAAUUCUAGAAAAGAUUAGAAAAAUCGAAGAGGAACGCCAUACUGUGGACUUGUGGCCUUGCGGGCCUGAAUGGGGACGCAAGAAACGAAGACGGCAGGUGUCAGUGUCACCCCCGUAUGUGGUGUAUAUGCUGUCGGAUUCCGACAUCAUGGAGGACUGGAGGCUAGUGAGGAAACUGCUCGAAAGAACUGAUUCGUAGAAAAUUAUAUAGUGUAUAUUAAAGUUGUAUUCAGCUAACUAAAGAGUACUUCGUAUUGUAGUUUUUAAUGUGAUUUUAACAAGAUUUUUACGCUAUAAGUAGGUUUUUUUGUUUCGAAAUUGUGUUUAUGUGACUGGAUUUAAUAUGUGAUUAUAAUAUCCUGAUACGCCGACUGUUUCAAUUGUAAUUUUCUAUUCCAUCUUCAUAUUAUAUAUAAAAAACUCCUAUUAGUUGGACCCCUUCGGUGAGUGGUUUAGUUGAGGUUUAUUUUUUUCUUUCUUCUUCUAUUUUCCUGUCUUUUCGAUAUUUUUGGUGAUUUCUUUACGAAGAAUUGUAAUUUUCUUAAAAAAUAUUAGAAAAGAAGUAAACUUUUAGCUACCGAACUACAUAAAAUCAAACAUUUUUAUUAUUUCAAAAAUUUUAGAUGUACCUACCGUUUGCAAUUCAAUUUUUUAUUUUUUUUUUUCGUUUUUGUUAUUAUUAUUUAUUCAGCUUAAACAUUAAUGACGUGAAAUAUUCAGGGGAUUGUAUUAGUUUAGUCGCAUCCGAGUUGUGAAUUUAUUAUUUGAACUUAAAAUAACAUAAAAAAUAAUUUUAUUAAUUUUUUUGCUUUGUAUUCAUAUAGGUAUAUAUAAAAAAUAAUGAUACUAUAUACUGUUGAGUACAAUAUAUAUAGAAAAAUACGAGCGUAAAGCAUCAAAUCUGAAUAUUAUAAGAUUAGCUAGAAUAAAAUUACUCGUAGCUAGUACCAAUAAGGAAUACUGUGCUGAUACCAAUAAGGAAUACUGUAUUCUUUAUUUUCUUAUUCUCAAUCUUAAUUCUACUUCUCUUCUGUUACACAUAAAAUAUAAGCUUUGAAUAAUAUCCGAGAACUAUGUUUUAUAAGACUAUUAAAGUCUCGAUGAAAUCGCAUUGUAAAAAUGUCACAACCUCACCCAAACACACACACAUACAUUAAAUGUAUAUAUGUAUGUAUGGAGAAUAAUGUUAUAGUCUUACUUUUACAAUUUAAAAGUUAAAAACGAGUCGUGUAAUUUAAUUUUACGAAUAUGUCGAUGGCUCCUAAGUAUACUGAGUCAACUCUACUUUUAAUAACUUUAUUUUUUUCUUACAUAGGUAGAUAGGAAAUCAAGUAAAUAUUAUUAAUAUCUCAAAAAAUUAAAUUAUCAAAAGUUGUUAGUUGACUCAGUAUACUUAGGAGCCAUCGAUGUGUUUGGGUUGUUUCUUCACUUAUCGUGUAGGUAAGCUUCGUUUUAGUAAUAGGUGUAAUGACAAAUUUUUAGUUUUAAUCAUUUUCGAAAUAAAAAUUAAAAAAGAAAAUUUUUACGAUUAACAAAUUGUUUACAAAAAAAAUUAUUAGCUAGAUUUUUUUUUUUGUGUUGUAUGUAAUGUACGACGCUUGGAUCGUAUUAAUCGUACAGAAUGAAAACAAGCAAGAGGCAUGAAACUAGACCUAUGUAUCCAUAGCGUCGUUCCUAAGUUACGUUUAUACAAGAUUAGUUUUACAGCUGAAUUUAAACUACUGUUCGCAUUCUACUGAAUUUUUGUAUACCUGUAAAUUAUAAAAUGAACUAUAUUUAGUUUCAUUUGAUCCCUCUCGCUUCUGUGCAUCCUGUUUAGGAUUGAUUGUUUUUUUUUUUGUAAACUUCGAAAAUAAAUUUAAAACUUCGAAAGGCUAGGUUUGAACGUUUUAAGUGGAAUUUAAAAAGUGGAGUUACAAAUACGUCGAUAAUAAUUAUGAUAAAUUAGUUCAUACUAUAAUUGUCGUAAUUGUCGACUAUAAUUGUCGUAAUUUGUUUUCGAAGUCAGAUGUCGAUGAUUUCAUGUGAAAUAUAUCGAAAAUGUAAAAAAAAGGAAAAUUAAAAUUAUGUAAAACUAAAGUCAGA
RNAcentral lists this unclassified non-coding RNA (2217 nucleotides) under Melitaea cinxia (Glanville fritillary). RNAcentral's name for it is "misc RNA ENSMCXG00005007823.1". The record is from RNAcentral. Lineage: Eukaryota; Metazoa; Arthropoda; Insecta; Lepidoptera; Nymphalidae.